AGGAGGCCAGAGCUAACACUCUGCCAAAAAAAAAAAACAAAAACCAAAAGCUUUGGUUAGAGUUGAGGAAUCUAGGCACUGUGGGGUACAAAGACAAGCAGAAGUUCCUGGGGAGCAGUGGCAACUCAAAUAAGCAGGAAUUCCAGAGCAGAAAACCCCUCAUUACUUUCUGGCUACUCACAGUGUGUCUUGGAUCAGUAGCAUCAGCGUCUCCCUGGAGCUGUCUAGAAAUGCUGAGUCUCAGGCCCCACUCCAGAACUUCUGAAUCAGAAUCUGCAUUUUCACUAGCUCUCCACGUAGUUCCUGCUUAUCAAAGUCUGUGGCGGCCGCUCCUUGUCAUCCCCGCGUGUGCUGGGAGAGAUGGUCGAAGGGCAACCGGGGAGCCAGUCGACCAGACGCGGGGCGGCCUCCGGGGAGGAGGCGACGACUGAGUAGCGGCCUGUGCGCCGGGAGGCGCCGGGGCCUGGGGGCGCCGAGGCUGCGGGGAGCGGAGGCAACAGCGGAGGCAGCGCUGGCGGACCUGGGGAAAAGGCCUGAGGCUCGCAGGAAGAGGAGGAGGUUGAUGCUCUCAUUUCCACCAUUUGAUACCAUCUGUUUCUCACACACAUCCAUGAGGGAAGAAUCAUUCCCAUUUAACAGACAAUGUAACUGGGCCUGAAUAUAGCUCAGCGACUUGCCCCAGGCCCACCAGGAAGUGGAUAAAGCCAUGCUCAACCCAGCACUUCUUCUCUCUACCUUCCACCGAUCCUGCCUGCUCAUCUUCCCUCCUUGGUGAAGGCAUGUGUGCUGUGCUCUGCUUAACUAAUUUCCCUCAGAUAUUCGCAUUUCUGUCUUUACAAUUUGGCAUCCCAGUGAGGUUUCCCUUUGUAUAUUUUCCGGUUCCUAUAUUCCCAUUAUUCAGGUAUCAUCACUCAAUAACCAUUUGACAGCAGUAAUGCUUUUCACAUGGAAAGAAUUGGGUUUUUAUUGAUGGCAAAUGUUGUGAUGAACUUUCAUGCCCACUUGGAGCCGGAGCACUUUUUUAUAGAAUGAACCACAAUGAGAAGCGUUUCCAAGAAAUGUCUUUGGAGUGUGGACUGAGAUGUACGUUUAGGAACAGGUCCUGUGGCCAGAGUGGGGAGAGAGGGGGCUUCCCAUUGUCAAAAUCUCAUCAAUCAAAAUGUAUAAUAGCAACAUUAUUAAUAACCCUAUAGUUGCAUUGCACUUGGUGCUCUUCCAAGCACUUCCCUAGAAUCCUAAAAUGAAGGCAGGGCAGAUAUUAUAUCCAUGUUACAGGUUAAACAACAUUGUAACAGGACUGAUAACACCAUGAAUGAGAAGUCAUUUGAUC
This 1330-nucleotide long non-coding RNA is filed under the name Homo sapiens (human). Its description in RNAcentral is "non-protein coding RUNX2-AS1:19". Lineage: Eukaryota; Metazoa; Chordata; Mammalia; Primates; Hominidae. The record is from RNAcentral.